Molecule: long non-coding RNA, 1043 nt
Filed under: Homo sapiens (human)
Lineage: Eukaryota; Metazoa; Chordata; Mammalia; Primates; Hominidae
Source: RNAcentral
AGAUCCGCCGGAUCCGGGAUCCGGGAGUCGCGCUAGGACCUGGAGGGCUAGUCGGCGGGCUGCGCGUCCGGCCGCUAGCUGAGCUGGAGGCCACCGGCCAGAGCCGACCCCAGGAGUGAGAGAGACAGGGGCGUGCGUGAGUUCCGGCGGCCUGCACCGGGCAAACCCCGUACCUUCCCAGCAUCGGCUCAGCAACCCACGUGCAUCCAGGCCGGUCAAUGUCAUUGAGUCACCUCCGCGCCUUGGCCACCCUGGAGUCCCGAGAAUCCGAAGUUCCAGACAAAUGCCCAAACUACAUUCCUGCAUGUUCGAAAGCGUAAAUUGCAAAGCACAAAUCCAGUUGUAGAUUGUGGCCGGGAGCAGUGGCUCACGCCUAUAAUCCCAGCACUUUGGGAGGCCGAGGCGGACAGAUCACGAGGUCAGCACUUCGAGACCAGCAUGGCCAACAUGGUGAAGCCCCAUCUCUACUAAAAAUACAAACAUUAGCCAGGCAUGGUGGUAGGCCCCUGUAAUCCCAGCUACUCGGUAGGCUGAGGCAGGAGAAUCACUUGAACCCGGGAGGCAGAGGUUUCAGUGAGCUGAGACUGCACCAUUGCACUCCAGCCUGGGCGACAGACCAAGACUCCAUCUCAAAAAAAAAAAAAAAAAAGUUAUAGAUUGUAAGGAAAAUACCCCCAAGGAAGUUGAGGACACAGCAGACUUGGACUGUCUCCAAACCUGUUCAUUCUUCUGAGUGCACUGCUCGGAGCAUCCUAUUGGGCAGCAUAUCCUGGCCUCCUUUCCAGUUCGAUGUGGUACUAUACCUGAUUUCUGGCCAAUAAAAUAUGAGAGGACAUGAAAUUCAACAGCCCCUGGGCUUGGCUUAUAAAACCUUCCAUGCAAUCCUCCACACCUUUUCACCUCUCAGCUGCUGAGACUUUUCUAGGCACUACACAGAAGCAGCCUGGGUCUCCAGUAGCAAAGGAGAGCAGAUCCUUCUCACUAUCCUGCACCGAACUGUGACAUGAGCAAAAAAUAAAGUUUUUAUUUUCUUACACCAUUGA